This 463-nucleotide ribosomal RNA is filed under the name uncultured bacterium. Its description in RNAcentral is "partial 16S ribosomal RNA". It matches the Rfam family "Bacterial small subunit ribosomal RNA", at positions 28 to 507 of the family's 1533-position model. The record is from RNAcentral.
GAUGAACGCUGACAGAAUGCUUAACACAUGCAAGUCUUUGGCGAAUCUGUGCUUGCACAGGCUAGCCAAGGCGGACGGGUGAGUAACGCGUAAAGAACUUGCCCUGCAGACAGGGAUAACAGACAGAAACGACUGAUAACACCUGAUACAGUUGCCGGCACGCAUGUGCCUGGCAAUGAAAAGAGAUGCUGCAGGAGAGCUUUGCGUCCUAUUAGCUUGUUGGUGAGGUGACGGCUCACCAAGGCGAUGAUAGGUAGCCGGCCUGAGAGGGUGAACGGCCACAAGGGGACUGAGAUACGGCCCUUACUCCUACGGGAGGCAGCAGUGGGGAAUAUUGGACAAUGGGGGCAACCCUGAUCCAGCAAUUCUGUGUGCACGAAGAAGGUUUUCGGAUUGUAAAGUGCUUUCAGCAGGGAAGAAGAAAGUGACGGUACCUGCAGAAGAAGCGACGGCUAAAUACGUG